UCCUACGGGGGGCAGCAGUGAGGAAUAUUGGUCAAUGGUCGGGAGACUGAACCAGCCAAGCCGCGUGAGGGAUGAAGGUACAGAGUAUCGUAAACCUCUUUUGUCAGGGAACAAAGGCGGGGACGUGUCCCCGGAUGAGUGUACCUGAAGAAAAAGCAUCGGCUAACUCCGUGCCAGCAGCCGCGGUAAUACGUAGGGGGCAAGCGUUAUCCGGAAUCACUGGGUGUAAAGGGAGCGUAGACGGCUGUGCAAGCCUGAAGUGAAAGGCGGGGGCCCAACCCCUGGACUGCUUUGGGAACUGUACG
Molecule: ribosomal RNA, 305 nt
Filed under: uncultured bacterium
Lineage: Bacteria
Description: bacterial SSU rRNA
Rfam family: Bacterial small subunit ribosomal RNA
Source: RNAcentral